UCAGCCUGCUUCCGGACGGGCGAGGAGACUCGUGAUCUGGUUCUAGGACUUCCCGAACAGCAUGGCCCCUAAAGGGCAGUCUUCACUCCUGCCUCAAAAGAAGAAACCAAGACCACCGCCUGCUCUGGGACCGGAGGAGACACCGGCUUCUGCAGGCUUGCCGAAGAAGGGAGAAAAAGAACAGCAAGAAGCAAUUGAACACAUUGAUGAAGUACAAAAUGAAAUAGACAGACUUAAUGAACAAGCCAGUGAGGAGAUUUUGAAAGUAGAACAGAAAUAUAACAAACUCCACCAACCAUUUUUUCAGAAGAGGUCAGAAUUGAUUGCCAAAAUCCCAAAUUUUGGGGUAACAACAUUUGUCAACCAUCCACAAGUGUCUGCACUGUUUGGGGAGGAAGACGAAGAGGCACUGCAUUAUUUGACCAGAGUUGAAGUGACAGAAUUUGAAGAUAUUAAAUCAGGUUACAGAAUAAAUUUUUAUUUUGAUGAAAAUCCUUACUUUGAAAAUAAAGUUCUCUCCAAAGAAUUUCAUCUGAGUGAGAGUGGUGGUCCAUCUUCAAAGUCCACCGAAAUCAAAUGGAAAUCUGGAAAGGAUUUGACGAAAAGUUCAAGUCAAACGCAGAAUAAAGCCAGCAGGAAGAGGCAGCAUGAGGAACCAGAGAGCUUCUUUACCUGGUUUACUGACCUUUCUGAUGCAGGUGCUGAUGCGUUAGGAGAGGUCAUCAAAGAUGAUAUUUGGUCAAACCCAUUACAGUACUACUUGGUUCCUGAUAUGGAUGAUGAAGAAGGAGAAGGAGAAGAUGAUGAUGAUGAUGAUUAAGAGGAGGAAAGAUUAGAAGAUAUUGAUGAAGAAGGGGAUGAGGAUGAAGGUGAAGAAGAUGAAGAUGAUGAUGAAGGGGAGGAAAGAGAGGAGGAUGAAGGAGAAGAUAACUAAUAGAACACUGAUGAAUUCCAACCUUCCUUUUUUUAAAUUUUCUCCAGUCCCUGGGAGCAAGUUGCAGUCUUUUUUUUUUUUUUCCUCUUGUGCUCAGUCGCCCUGUUCUUGAGGUCUCUUUUCUCUACUCCAUGGUUCUCAACUUUUUUUGGGGGAAAUACCUUGAGCACAAUACAAUGGGAAAAGAGUCUCUACCCCUUUCUGUUCGAAGUUCACUUUUACCCCUUCCUGUCUCAACAAAAACUGUAUGGAAUCAACACCACCGAGCUCUGUGGGAUAAAAGAAAAACCUGCUCCCUUCGCUUUGCUGGAAGCUGGA
Cercocebus atys (sooty mangabey) is the source of this 1252-nucleotide RNA transcript. It is a transcript of the gene named protein SET pseudogene, with no coding region annotated. NCBI's taxonomy places the organism in Eukaryota, Metazoa, Chordata, Mammalia, Primates, Cercopithecidae. The record is from RefSeq and is a predicted model, not a curated record. The transcript has a single exon.